Long non-coding RNA from Nerophis lumbriciformis (worm pipefish), 1132 nucleotides. RefSeq lists it as uncharacterized. The record is from RefSeq and is a predicted model, not a curated record. Lineage: Eukaryota; Metazoa; Chordata; Actinopteri; Syngnathiformes; Syngnathidae.
GGCGAAUGUGACUUGUAUCGAUUGGAGGAAACAAUUCAGCAUCGAAGGAAUAACGACUGAAAUAUUGGAGUGUCAAAAUGACAAAACGAAAACCUGCAAAACGAUGGAGAAGAACCGGUAAAGAAGUCGACUCAAAUAAACGAUCAAGAAGGACUGUACAAUUGCCACCAAUGUGAAUGUGGAGACUGAUGAGCAAUGUCUAAAAGGUAGCAGCAGGGGAACAGAAGGAGCCCAAAACACUGCUCUUCAUAUAGAACACAUCCAACCUCCAGGUGUCCAUGCAGGAUGUACCACUCUGGAACAUCAAACCUCUCCCUACCCGCCAGCACAUGAAAAUAUUUCUACUUUUGACUCUAUCAAAGACAAUGGAAAACCAUUUUCCAGAUCAGCCCUCAUAGAUCCUCCUGAUGGCCUAACAACUGAACUACAUGUCGAUGCUGAGUAUGAUCCAUCUCAAUCAUUUGAGGAAUCUCUCCCUGAUAUGGGGGAUUGGAUGUACAAUGACGGACAUAUGUUUAAUGAAGGAUUUGAAGAUAGUUUGAGUGAGGAGUGUGCAGAAGAGUCAAAUAUCAAGGACACAACAGACAAACCAUUAUAUGACAAUGCAUCAGUAACCGUGGCAGAGUGCCUUCUGAUCAUCAGGGCUUAUGAAAACUGUCAUAAAGUCACUGAUAAGGCCCUAUAAGCGAUUUGCUGAAAAUGUUCAAGUUGCUUUGUCCCGAUAGUCUGAAUGCAGACUGCUUAAACAGUGUGCAGAAGUUCAAAAACUUUCUUUUAUCCUGCUCUGCAUCAUCGCCUAUUUUAUUACAUAAAUACUGCAGUAAUUGUUUUGGGCAAUUAGAAAGUAAACAAAUAAAAUGUCUGUCUUGUGGGACCAGUGUGUCAGAAGAAAGAUCUUCAUCCUUUAUAGAGGUUCCAAUUAAGGCUCACAUAAGGUCAUUGUUCCUCAAGCCAGGUUUUCAGGAGAAGCUUAACUUCAGAUUAAGCAGAAAGAAGGCAGAUGCUAACAACAUUGAAGAUAUAUAUGAUGCAGAAGUUUACAAACAGCUUGUCGAUAGGGGUGGUCCUCUUAGUGACCCUAAAAACAUCUCACUUGGAACACCGAUGAAGACAAAAAUUGAUAUUUGUUAAG